This 896-nucleotide ribosomal RNA is filed under the name uncultured Bacillota bacterium. RNAcentral's name for it is "bacterial SSU rRNA". It matches the Rfam family "Bacterial small subunit ribosomal RNA", at positions 8 to 917 of the family's 1533-position model. The record is from RNAcentral. Lineage: Bacteria; Bacillati; Bacillota.
AGACUUUGAUUCUGGCUCAGGACGAACGCUGGCGGCGUGCCUAACACAUGCAAGUCGAACGGAGCUCCGCCCUUCGGGACGGAACUUAGUGGCGAACGGGUGAGUAACGCGUGAAGAACCUGCCUUCCAGUGGGGGACAACAGUUGGAAACGACUGCUAAUACCGCAUGAUACUUUUGAGGGGCAUCCCUUGAAAGUCAAAGCUUUAAGUGCUGGAAGAUGGCUUCGCGUCUGAUUAGCUAGUUGGUGGGGUAACGGCCCACCAAGGCGACGAUCAGUAGCCGGUCUGAGAGGAUGAACGGCCACAUUGGGACUGAGAUACGGCCCAGACUCCUACGGGAGGCAGCAGUGGGGAAUAUUGGGCAAUGGGCGAAAGCCUGACCCAGCAACGCCGCGUGAAGGAAGAAGGCCUUCGGGUUGUAAACUUCUUUUACCAGGGACGAAGGACGUGACGGUACCUGGAGAAAAAGCAACGGCUAACUACGUGCCAGCAGCCGCGGUAAUACGUAGGUUGCAAGCGUUGUCCGGAUUUACUGGGUGUAAAGGGCGUGUAGGCGGAGGCGCAAGUUGGGAGUGAAAUCUAUGGGCUCAACCCAUAAACUGCUCUCAAAACUGUGUCCCUUGAGUAUCGGAGAGGCAAGCGGAAUUCCUAGUGUAGCGGUGAAAUGCGUAGAUAUUAGGAGGAACACCAGUGGCGAAGGCGGCUUGCUGGACGACAACUGACGCUGAGGCGCGAAAGCGUGGGGAGCAAACAGGAUUAGAUACCCUGGUAGUCCACGCUGUAAACGAUGAAUACUAGGCGUGGGAGGACUGACCCCUUCCGUGCCGCAGUUAACACAAUAAGUAUUCCACCUGGGGAGUACGACCGCAAGGUUGCAACUCAAAGGAAUUGACGGA